This 1062-nucleotide ribosomal RNA is filed under the name Dendrodoris fumata. RNAcentral describes it as "eukaryotic LSU rRNA". It matches the Rfam family "Eukaryotic large subunit ribosomal RNA", at positions 42 to 886 of the family's 3401-position model. The record is from RNAcentral. Lineage: Eukaryota; Metazoa; Mollusca; Gastropoda; Nudibranchia; Dendrodorididae.
AUAACUAAGCGGAGGAAAAGAAACUAACCAGGAUUCCCUCAGUAACGGCGAGUGAAGCGGGAAAAGCCCAGCACCGAAUCCCCCGGCCGCACGGCCGGCGGGAACUGUGGUGUGCGGGACGCCACCAGCCGCGCGGGCGGGCGCCGAAGUCCUCCUGAUCGAGGCCUCUCCCACGGCGGGUGUAAGGCCUUUGCUGGUGCCGGCGCGCGCGGCCGCGAGCGUCCCAGGAGUCGGGUUGUUUGGGAAUGCAGCCCAAAGUGGGUGGUAAACUCCAUCUAAGGCUAAAUACUGGCGCGAGUCCGAUAGCGGACAAGUACCGUGAGGGAAGGUUGAAAAGAACUUUGAAGAGAGAGUUCAAGAGUACGUGAAACUGCCCAGAGGUAAACGGGCGGACCCGCAAAGUCGGCCGGCGGAAUUCAGCCCGGCUGGGGGAGGGGAGCUGGCGUGCGCGGAUCUUCGGACCGUCGCGCCGGCUCUGCCGCUUCCCUGCCGGGUGCACUUUCCGCUGGCCGAGCGCCACGACCGGCUCCCGGCCGGCCAUGAGCCCGGCGAGGAAGGUAAGCGGACGGCCGUCUUCGGGCGAUCGUCUGCCGUUAUAGCCUCGCCGCGGAUCGGGCCCGGCUUCGAGGGGGCCGAGGGACUUCCGCGCCCCGGUACGGGCGGCCGGGCUGAGGGUAGGGGCUUCGACUGGCGGGGACUGGGCAACCGUGCCCGCCGACCGCCCCUGCUCGACGGCCUGGCUGGUCUCGGGGCGCUGCGGGUCAGUGGCGACAACGUCGGUGAUCCGCCCGACCCGUCUUGAAACACGGACCAAGGAGUCUGGCGCGCGCGCGAGUCGCGGGGUCGUACGAAACCCGCAGGCGCAGUGAAAGCGAGGGCCUCCUCCGGAUGGCCCAGGCGGGAUCCUGUCUCCCCUCGGGGUGGCGGGCGCACCGCCGGCCCGUCCUGGCCGCGUUGUCGGCGGGGCGGAGCGAGAGCGCGCGCGCCGGGACCCGAAAGAUGGUGAACUAUGCCUGAGCAGGGCGAAGCAGGGGAAACUCUGGUGGAGGCCCGCAGCGAUUC